This 1464-nucleotide long non-coding RNA is filed under the name Apteryx owenii (little spotted kiwi). RNAcentral's name for it is "lncRNA (ENSAOWG00000010290.1)". Lineage: Eukaryota; Metazoa; Chordata; Aves; Apterygiformes; Apterygidae. The record is from RNAcentral.
GUGGGCAGUUAAUUUUCAGGCAUCCCAGCAGGAUUGGGAGAUGGUGGUGUAAAAAGCACUGGAGUCUGAAGCCCUGCGUGUACAUGGAUGAAGUCUUGCUCCUGCCAUGUGUGUCUUGGUACCAGUUAAAACUGUGCACCGCCCAUACAACAUACAACAGUCUUCAGGCUACUGAUAUUGGUAAGGUAGUAUAUCAGAAAAGGAUAAUAAUGUUAAUGAGGGUAUUAUAUUAUGAUGAAAAAUUCAUAAUAUGUGUCCAUGCUUGGGAUGUAGUAUUUCACAAUAUACUCUUCAAAAUGUAUAAAGAAAAUACUAUUUGGUCUUUCAGGAGGUGGAAUCUGAAGCACUUAAGGAAGACUUCAGUGCUUCACUGGAGUGGAGCAGACAGAUGUGUCCUGUGCAGUGGAGACAAUACCCACCAAGAAGAAAAGCUGGAAGUAAGAGCAGGUUUGUGUGGAGGUUGAGCCCAAGUGUCAGCGAAGUGAGUCAGAGGAGCAGCCUGGCUGGUGGCCAGGGCAGUGACUGUGCUGGCUGCUUGCAGGAAACGCGAUGAGUUACAGAAACGCAUCGGUUACAGAGGGAUGGAAAGGGCUUCCUUGCCCUUCCCUUCUGCCCUGAAAAGGCAGCAGAGGCUUUUCCAAUGUCCUCAUAAGACCUUGGGGCUCCUUGUGUUAUACGUUGUGUUGGUCUCUGGUCAAAAUCCUCUAAUAGCUUACAGGAGGAAAAUGCGCUUCUCCACAAGUGGUGGGGAAUAUUGGUUGAAUCUCAUCCUGCUCUGUCUGGAGAGAGGGACUGUAUUCCAGUUUUAUUUAUGAUGUUUACUUCAUAGUACAGAAAAUCACUCACCUGUGAAUCCCAGGAUCAACCCUAGAUUUUUAUAGAGGAGAAAAGUUGGUGUUUACUCCCUUUCAGUUAUCUGAUGUAGCAAGUGAUGUUGAUACAAACUUUGUGUACGGCUAGAAGUUCAAUUUUUGUUUAAUUUCCUUCAGAACUCAUGGCUAAAUAUACCAAAUCCCAGUCUCUUUAAUUUAUUGUCCAAGUACAUCUGUGUUUGUGUAGCAUUCUUGUUGUUUGAAAAGAGUAAGCCUGCAUUAACUAUCUUUCCAGCCAAGGUGGUAAAGGAAGGUGCUCUGCUUCUUUGCAGUUCUCUAUUUUGUUUAAUUUCAGAUUUAUACAGUGUACUUUCAGAAGGAGCCAUUAGACUGCUUAGUUGAGCCUCCUGCAUGUCACAGGUGGUUGAUAUGAUGCUCCUCUCAGCCUAUGUGGAUGCCAAUAGCAUGUUAACUUAAACCACUUUUCCAUUUUAUUUUUAUUCAGUGCUUUUAUGGAUUCUCACAGGCUACGAACUAGUCAGGUUUUUAGUAACACAAAGUGGAACUCUUUGGUAUAUUCUUGAUUCUUCUCRCAUUCUUGGUUCUCUUAAUUUCUCCCAUCAUGUAAUCUGCUAGCUUACCCUCUAGUCUG